AGAAUGCACUAAUUGUAAGUCACUCUGAAUAAGAGUGUCUGCUAAAUGACUAAAA
Molecule: non-coding RNA, 55 nt
Organism: Salmo salar (Atlantic salmon)
Lineage: Eukaryota; Metazoa; Chordata; Actinopteri; Salmoniformes; Salmonidae
Source: Rfam